AAGGCGCGAUACAUCUUAAAGGC
This 23-nucleotide microRNA is filed under the name Cordylochernes scorpioides. Lineage: Eukaryota; Metazoa; Arthropoda; Arachnida; Pseudoscorpiones; Chernetidae. The record is from RNAcentral.